Molecule: small RNA, 258 nt
Filed under: Staphylococcus aureus
Lineage: Bacteria; Bacillati; Bacillota; Bacilli; Caryophanales; Staphylococcaceae
Description: Antisense
Source: RNAcentral
GCAAUAUUUUUACAGCGAUUUAAUAAUUCAUCUGUUGGAUUUAAUUCUUUUGGACAAACUAAAUGGAAGUUCAUACCCAUAAUGGCAGCACCUUGCAUUAAUGCAUUUGCAACGUUAUUACGACCAUCUCCAACAUAUGUAAAGUUAAUAUCUGCAUAAUCUUUUUUUAAGACUUCUUUUGCUGUUAAGAAAUCAGCAAGAACUUGAGUAGGAUGAUCUUCAUCAGUUAAACCAUUCCACACUGGUACGCCUGAAUAC